GACGUAGGGCGCGAGCGUUGUCCGGAUUUAUUGGGCGUAAAGAGCUCGUAGGCGGCUUGUCGCGUCGUUCGUGAAAACCUGCAGCUUAACUGUGGGCUUGCGGUCGAUACGGGCAUCACUGGAGUUCGGCAGGGGAGACUGGAAUUCCUGGUGUAGCGGUGAAAUGCGCAGAUAUCAGGAGGAACACCGGUGGCGAAGGCGGGUCUCUGGGCCGAUACUGACGCUGAGGAGCGAAAGCGUGGGGAGCGAACAGG
Molecule: ribosomal RNA, 254 nt
Filed under: uncultured bacterium
Lineage: Bacteria
Description: partial 16S ribosomal RNA
Rfam family: Bacterial small subunit ribosomal RNA
Source: RNAcentral